This 662-nucleotide ribosomal RNA is filed under the name uncultured bacterium. RNAcentral's name for it is "bacterial SSU rRNA". It matches the Rfam family "Bacterial small subunit ribosomal RNA", at positions 64 to 733 of the family's 1533-position model. The record is from RNAcentral.
GUUCUGAAAGAUUUCUUCGGAAUGAAUUUGAUUUAGUUUAGUGGCGGACGGGUGAGUAACGCGUGAGUAACCUGCCUUCAAGAGGGGGAUAACAUUCUGAAAAGAAUGCUAAUACCGCAUGAUAUAUCGGAACCACAUGGUUCUGAUAUCAAAGAUUUUAUCGCUUGAAGAUGGACUCGCGUCCGAUUAGUUAGUUGGUGAGGUAACGGCUCACCAAGACCGCGAUCGGUAGCCGGACUGAGAGGUUGAACGGCCACAUUGGGACUGAGACACGGCCCAGACUCCUACGGGAGGCAGCAGUGGGGGAUAUUGCGCAAUGGGGGCAACCCUGACGCAGCAACGCCGCGUGAAGGAUGAAGGUUUUCGGAUUGUAAACUUCUUUUAUUAAGGACGAAAAAUGACGGUACUUAAUGAAUAAGCUCCGGCUAACUACGUGCCAGCAGCCGCGGUAAUACGUAGGGAGCAAGCGUUGUCCGGAUUUACUGGGUGUAAAGGGUGCGUAGGUGGCUUUGCAAGUCAGAUGUGAAAUCUAUGGGCUCAACCCAUAAACUGCAUUUGAAACUGUAGAGCUUGAGUGAAGUAGAGGCAGGCGGAAUUCCCCGUGUAGCGGUGAAAUGCGUAGAGAUGGGGAGGAACACCAGUGGCGAAGGCGGCCUGCUGGC